GCGGUGGGCUGCAACCUGGAAGGCAGGCAGGCAGGCAGGCAGGCGGGCGGACGAGCCCUAGCCGUCCCGCCAGCUCGCUUGGAAGGGCGGGCACUUGUGCGCUUGCCAGCUCCCUUCUGCAAGCCUGCGGGCGACGUCCCGGGACUGGCUUUGGACCGAGAGGAGCGCUUUUCGCCUUUCCCGCUGAGGAGGCGCCGAAGGAGAAGCGCUGUCGCGCGAGGUCCGAGAAGAUGGCCAAGGCCAACAGCACCACCAGACAGCUUUGGAAGUUCCUCUGGACUGCUGCCCUCACCCUCUGCGUCCAUCUGCAGCCACAACUAGCCAAUUGUGUUUCCUCUUCACCUGACAUGAAUCGUUUUAUCUCCUGUUUGUUGCAACAUGCAAGAAAUAGAGCAGAGAACUGUUCCCGCUUUUACGAACUUUUCUGCUUUUGAUUCCCUCAUCCCACUGUUCAAGGAGGAGAAAAUAUUGAGAAGGAGAUCCAGGAAGAUACAAUCUCUGCGUUGCAUCUUCGCCUUGUGAUUAAUCUGGAAGUGAUUUUCGUUAGCUCACGUCAUUUUUUUUAAAAUUGUGUGUCGUUGAAGAGCAUUUUAUUGGGUGCUGCAAAGACUUGAACAGGAAAACAUAACAACU
This 633-nucleotide long non-coding RNA is filed under the name Naja naja (Indian cobra). RNAcentral's name for it is "lncRNA (ENSNNAG00000004402.1)". Lineage: Eukaryota; Metazoa; Chordata; Lepidosauria; Squamata; Elapidae. The record is from RNAcentral.